ACGAAUUUUUUAUUGAUUUAUUGUAUAUAGAAAUUAAGCCUAAAGAUAUAUAAUUUUUAAUUUAUUUUCAACUAUUAAAAGAGAUAUUUUCAAGAAUAAAGAAAAUUAAAUUCAAAGUCAAAUCUAUAUAUGGUAAGAGUUUCACUGAAUUGCGGCUGGAAUCUCCACAGUAAUUAGAAACAAACAAGUCCACAUGUUUGUAUGCAGCAACAGCAUCGAUGUCUGAAAGUUUAUAAAUAAUAAUAGAAUGGAAAAUUUUAAUUUUUAAUUUUAAUUAGCUUAUAAAUUAUUUUGUUUUUCAAUUUAGUCUUUUAAUUCUUGAUUUGUAUUUUAGCUGAGUUUCUUCGUCUAACCCUUAUUAAUAAAUUAAUGACAAUGAUCUAUUUAAUUAUAUAACAAAUAUAAGUUCAAAAAAGAAUUAAUUAAAAAAAAUUUAGAAAUCUAAUUAAUAUUUUAUAUAGUUAAUUCAUUUUUUCAACAAUUCUUGAAUUCUUCACAAGCUUUUGUGAUCUUCUUUCGAUACGUACUCUGUCUACCUGUUGCUUCUGAAUCCACUGUUACUUAAUCGUUCAAAAUGAAUAUAUAUUAAUGGACUGAGUUAAAAAUGUAUUUCUUAGAAGACUAUACCUCUAAUAUCUUUAUGCAUGCCUCUAAAUUUUUAUAUCAUAAAAUUUAAAAUGUGUUUUUUAUUUUAUAUUUCAGAAGAUUAUAUAAUUUGGAAUAUAAUAUUUUUUAAAAUUAUACAAUUUAAUAUAUAAAAAUUAUGUUUUAAAUCAUACGGUCUAAAUAUAAAUAUAUUUCAGAUUAUAAAUUUAAAAUUUAUUGUGUAUUUUAUAUUUUAGAAUAUAAAAAUUUAUAUACAAAUUAAAAAACUUAUGGAGGUGCAAAUUCAAAUGGAGGUGAAAAUAAAAAGGUGCCCAAUAUGAAAAAAGGCUGGGUCGAACAAAGUUGAGUCCCGGGAAUGGAGUCUCUAGAAGAGAAAAAAUAAAAUAAAACAAAAUAUGGAGAGAUUGAUGUUAUCUAUUGUUAGAAGUGGACUUUAAGCCUAACUCAAUCCCACAAAACCGGCUUGUAGGGUGAGGUUUGCACCCACUUAUAUACACUUAAAUGACCUUAUCUCUAGUCGAUGUGGGACUUCCAACACCCCCCUCACGCCGAGGUAUAUACAUCUCGAGCGUGGGACUAGACAUUAAUGGGUGGUCCGAUAGCGGCCCGAUAGCGGGUGGAACAACAUGCCCAACUAUUGCUAAGAUAGGCUCUAAUCAUGGCUCUGAUACCAUGUUAGAAGUGGACUUUAAGCCUAACUCAACCCCACAAAACCGGCUUGUAGGGUGGGGUUUGCACCCACUUAUAUACACUUAAAUGACCUUAUCUCUAGUCGAUGUGGGACUUCCAACAUCUAUUUUUGUAAGAUCAAGCAUAAAAUUAUUCAAUUAAAAGUAUAUACGAAAAUUAAAUAUUUUCAUCAUAAUAACUAUUUGAAAAAGGCACUCAGUCCCUUAUUAGAAUCAAAUUUAAUUAAAAGUAACUGUUUGAAAAUUGAGUCAUAUUUUUAUAUUCAGAGCUUUGAUUAUGAGAUAGGUUUCAAAAUUAGUGGAUGGAUAAAAUAGUAGAAAAAAUCAUGUAUACCAAAAUUGCAUAUCUUUUUGUUAAGAGUGUAGAUGUUAAUUAGAUUUAAUUAUCUAUUAAUUCUCACUAUUUUUUAUUUAAUUUAAUUUAAUUUUUAGUUAUAUUUUUAAUCAAAUAUUUUAAUUUUUGAGGACGUAAAACUGUAACUACUUUCUAUCCAACCAAUAGUAAAAACAUUAAUAAUUAAAUAUUGAUGGAUGAAAAUGGGAUGAGAAAAAUUGCUUAAAUAGAUUUGAUCUGGCUAAAAUAUUCAAAAUCUAAUGAGUACUUUUGUCAUAAACUUAAUUUUUAGGUCUAUCAUAAAUCCAGUUUGGUCUAUUUCAUUUUUUUAGGUUUUAAAAUUGAAUUAACCUAUUUACAAAUAAAGCAAUAUACUAAUAAGAUAAUGAAAUAAAUAGUUAUAUGUUAAAUACAUUAUAAAUAAUAAAAUUUAAAGUGAAAAAAACUUUGACUUGAUAUAAACUAGUUUGUACCUGAAUGCCCUUUAAUCUUACUCUUUUGAUUUGUUCUUUCUAAUUUUCUUUUCAUGCCAUUUUUUUUUUGCAAGUAAAAAAUAAUAAUAUAAUCUCCCGAUUAAAAAAAUAUUACUUGUAAAAGACUAUUAACUUUACAGAUUAAUAGAUGCAGGAUUUUUUAAAUUCCUGAACAUUCAAAUGUGUUAAAUUCUAUGAAAAUUUUACUUACUAUAAUUCUUGAGCAUGGUUGUUUCCAGUGACAGAUCUCUAAUAGAUGUUUUUGGAGAUAUGGAGUUUUUUAAUUGGCAAAACUUUUAGGAGUUUAAAUAUAUAUAAUAUAUUAAAAUUUAAAAAAUAUAUUUUUAUUUAUAUAUGUGAAUGAUCUUUAAGAAAUAUUUUAGUGUGUAAAAUUUUUCUUUGUAGAUAUAUAUAAAAGUUUUUAGAAGUAUCAAAUAUAUAAAAUAUAAUAAAAUUAGAAAAUAUUUUUAUUUAUAUAUGUGUGAAAAAAAAGAUUGGUAGAUUUUAAAAUAUCAACAUAGUUGAAAGUAAUGUUUAUGGAAAAAGAAUUUAUAAAUGUGAAAUAUAUAAAAUAAGAAAAAUAUUUAUAAAAAAAAUUACAUUUACUUUGGAAAAAGAUAUGUAGAUAUAUCAACAAAAUGUUCUUCAUUUGAGAAUGAAUAAAAGUGAAACUUACAAUCUUUCCAGAUACAAAAUGCACAAACUCUUCAACCUUUACAACUUGUAUGUUUCUCUUCUUUAUGAUUCCAAUGUCAUGAAUCUAACUUUUUGUGGUAUUUAUAGCCCAAUUUGGGUUCACAACUCAAAAUUGGCUGAUGAAAUGAACAGAAGAGUGGUUUUUGCUAGCCUGUGAGAGUUGACAUUGAUGAUGGUGGUGCAAUAGAGAGCUACCACUCUUGAUGGAGAAGCAUAAACUAUUUCAUGGUCCCAAAAUUGGAAAUAAAAAAUACAGAAAGAAUCAAAAUGUCAAGUUUAGAUGUCACUAUUAGAUUAAUAAUAUGUCAUUAUUUAUUCAUUAUUUUAAAGUAUCCAACCACAUCAUCGUACUACUUAAUACAACCAGAACGGAAAAAGAAAGCCACGAAAAAGAAAGAAAAAAUUGUACUACAAUGUAAAAGGAAAAAGUUAUUUUAACAACACUUUUUUAACAACUUUUUUACAACGUAUACGUGACAGCUUGUGAUUGGUCCGUUUUAAACAUUUUUUAAAACAUAAAUUUAAAUAGACCAAUAAAGUGAUGACACAUGUACAAUUGUCAAAAAAGUUAUAAAAAAAUAUUGUCAACCAAUGUAAAAAUAGUAUGCAAUGCUGACAUGUGUCUAUAUUUGGACAGUUUUGAUAUAGUAGAGAAUAGUAUGGUGCCACUUCACACUUUUAUACUUUUGUAUGUGAACAGUUUGUUGUAUUGUUUCAAAUGUUUGUCUUUUUUUUUCUUUUUUAUAAUUAUUUGGAGAUAAAUGACAAUUGAAUGUGAUUAGACUACAUUUCUUUUUCAUUUUUUAUUAUAUAUAAAAAUUCAUUAAGUUACUGAUACUUAUUGUGUUUAAAAUGAAAGUAGUUUUCAUUUAGUUAAACUAUAAAAAAUUGUCAUAAGACAAAACAACCUACACAGCUUGGGAAAUUUUCUAUUAGCAUGAAAGAACAAAUUUGUUUAUUUGUGUGGCAAUUAUGGCAGGGUUUGUAAAAUAAUAAGAUAGAAAAUAAAAAGAGGUAGAUCAAACUAAACCAUUCUUAUAACAAACAAUAAUUAUAUAAGAUAAAAUUAUAAAUAAAAAAAUAUUAAAGAGUUUAGAUUGAAACAUACAAAUUACUGUUCUUAGAUAAAAAAAUAUCUUCACUGUACUAAUAGAAUAAUAUAUACUUAUCCCAAAAUAUAACAGAUCGAUCAAGUGCAGUUAAUAAUUCCUAAAUUUUAUGAGCACCAAUAUUUUAAAAAGAAGUAUAGAACAAAUUAAUAUUUUUAUAUGAACUUGUGUUUGUUGUUUAUUUUCCUCAUAUAAAUAGGUGAUAUUCAUAGUUAAGAGAAAAUGAUUUAAGAGUCCAUUAUAAUUAAUAUAAUUUAAAAAAUAGUAAUUUGUAAUCAAUAUUGUGAAAAUAAAAUAAAUGUAAAAAGUCGUUCAACAUAAAAACAAUUAUAACAGUAGAAUUUUGUUUUAUUUUUAAAUUAUACUAAUAGUUUCUAACAAUAACUGCUAAUUUGUUUUUUAAACAUGAUAACAUUUUGAGAGAAUAUAGGUGAAGAAAAAAUAUUGUGUAUAAAAAGAAAAAAAAGAAUAUAGUUUUGGUCCAAGCAUGGUGCAGAAGGUUACCUAUGAAGCCAACUCAAAGUCUUGGAAUUUCUAAGCAUUUUUUCGGCAUCUUAUACCAAAUAAAUUUCCAAUCAUAUUAAUCCAAAGUGAAAAAAGGGACGUGAUGAAUAUUUUUACCAAGCACAUUAACAUUAAGUAGUCAUGUUAACAAACUUAUUUGAAAUUUAGGAAGUGUAAUGAUGUUUGAUCACUCAUUUCAGUCCAAUAUUAGCUUUUGACUCCACCCUUUUGCUGACUUCAACAGUUGGAGUCUUUCCAUUUGACGUUACUGAAGAUUUUUGAACAGCUACCAAAGGAAACGUUUGGGUGUGAUUUGUUCAACAUAUCCAAGAGCCACAAUGGAGAAAGACCAGUCUCCAGAGUUUCAACUCUUGUACAUGCUUCCUUAUGAGCUGAAUUCUUCCGUGUUUAACUGUCACAAGAUUUGGUCACAAUAUCAAGCAUUCUUUAUUGCAUCACAUGUUGCAUUUGGCAUCAGAUUUGCUUUAAAAGGGUAAUCAACUGAAGUAAUUGAGAUGAUGAAAAUGAUAAUGAUCUUACCUAUUAGGUACAAAUAUGCUACGCCUUAGAUACCAAAAGAGAAGUUGUUCUUUAGGCUGAAAACCUUUAUUUAUGUGAUCACACAUGUAUGGUCUCAUUUAUUAAGGGAAAUUCUUACGCAAAAAUAAUUCUUUAAAAGCACUCUCUAUGUAUAUAUUUCUUCAAAGGGCACAGAACUUCAUCCUAAUCUUAAAACAUUUGUUGCCUAAGAUGGCUUUCCAAACCUUAAUUCCACUUUAGACGAUCAAAGUGAAAGAGGUGCUUCCGCACAUGGUAUACAUGGAUGCAGUAGAGGAGUGCAGCUAAUGUGACUGCUAGAAAUGAUAAAAAUGUCAGCUUCCAAAAAUCCUGAAAAGUCAAACAGAUAAAAAGAAGCAUGACCAACAUAAUUGAGAUUUUCUUAUAAGCAUUAGAUUCAAAGCAAUAACCAUAAUAAUAACUGAAAAGCCCUAUCAAGAAGUAGGCUACAUGACCACAUGAUGCUAUUCAAUAUGAUUACAAAUAAAAUCUUCAAAUGAAAUCUUGGGGUUGGCUACAAUAGAGGAACAAUUACUCUUCAAUAGAAUAUCCUAAUUUAUAAUAGAUAUAAUCUAUCCCUACAAUUCAGGAUCAACAAUCCUGUACAAUAAAUAUAAAAUAUACCAUUAGCAUUUAAUCCUCCUAAUUAUGAAAUGUAAUUAAAUCUCCCAAAAAUGUUAACUCCAGCAUAAAUCAAGGGAUUUUGACAAUUGCAAUUAUAUCAAAGGUUCUAGUUGGAUUUGGGAAGUAGUACAUUAAUGUGAAAGGUAAAGGAAAAAUAGCAAUCUCAACCUCUUGAGGUACAAAGUUCAUUUAUGAAGCGUUGGAGGUUCCUAAAGUGGAUAAAAUUUAUUAGCGUUGGACAAGUAGUUGAAAAGGGUUAUAAAGUGUUGUUUGAAAACAAAUCCUGCACAAUUGAAGAUGUCUAUGGCAAAGAUAUUUUUCCAGAAUGAAGAAGAAAAGUUUGAUUUAAAUCCAUUAGAGGAGCAAACUGAUUUUUUAAUAGAAGAGGAUAUAACUCAAUUUUGGCACAAGAAAGAAGAAACUGAAGAAAACAAGUUGGUUCUAUAGUAGCAGCCCCCAAGUCCAGAAGGAGUGCUGCAGAAGCAAGGUUGGUAGAAGUAAAGGAACAAGCUUAGUCUUCUCAAGAGUAGUUGGAUGAGUGGAAGAGGAAGUAUGAUGUCGUCAUUAGAGAAGCAAAAUGUGCUUUAGUGAAAGUUGAAAAGGUUGAGCAUGAUGAGAAGUGUCUAAAAACUUUGAAUUUAGAGUUGAAGACUAUUGAAACAAAGAUAAGAAGUUCUGUAAUAAAAUGUUUUCACUAAUGAUUGAAAUUAGAGUUGAUUGAGAAGUUAAAAGUUGAAAACGCAGAAAUCCAAUUAUAUCAAAAGGAAGAGAUUGUAUUUCAACAAGAGAAAACUAUUCUUGAACAAAAGAUCCAAAUCAUUCUGAGUCAGCAGAUUAAAUUUUUGAGGGAGAAACUUAGAGUUUGCAUCCUCCAAUGCAAGGAGUGUUAUAAACCUGCCUUAGAUACUAUCAAAGCAGUUUUAACUUCAUUUUGAAUAUGUCAAUUAUUAAAUUGAUAAGAGUAUGUUAUCUUGUUUCUAGUUGUCAGUGUGUUAGUUUCAUAUAUUAUUAUUCAGCUAUCAGUAGCAACUCCUACAAUCACAGAGCAAGAUUUCUAAGUUAUUUCGAUGAAUACAAGCCAGAUUCAAUAAAAGAUUUAGGGUUUUUGCAAUCCAUAAUUUUUUAUGUUGUUUCCUGGAUCUAUUUUUUUUCUUAUAUCCUUAAACAAAAACCAACAGUUGUGGUGCAAAAGCUUGGGAGUGUUCCAAUAAUGGAGAUGCAUCUGACAAAUUGUUGUCUAAAAAGUAAAUUUUCAGCUGUAAAAUUAGAUUAACUGGGGGUCCUAUUGUUAGAUCUAAUUUGAUGUUAGUGAAAUUAGAGAAUUCUGUCAGAAGUUGAAAAUUGAUGAGAUACUCAGAAAGUCUUUUAUCAACGACCUAAAGGAAAACCUAUAAGUAGCAAGUAUAUAUAAAAAAAUUGAAUACUUCGGGUAGGACAUGGAUGUUAAAAACUCACCCGUGGAUCAGAAAUUAUGAUUCCCAUAACAUAGGCCAAUAAGUCCAUCAAAGAUUGAAGUGAGUUCUGGACACCCCCAACAAUCAAACGAUCAGAUUCAGGAACAAGAUCCUAUGCCAAAAAAAUUAAUGAAAGAGAAGUGAGGCCAAGAUGACUAUUAAGAAAGAACUUCAGUGAUUGAUCAUAGACAUUUUAAAAAUAAAAUAUUUAGGAAAAUUUGAAUAACACCAGGUAAUAAAGGUAACUUGCCUGCAUUUGUUGAAGCACAGACAAAUCAAACAUCCACAAUCCAAGGCGAGAAAUGGCUACACUUCCCAUAAGAAUAUAUGAUGAUAGAAAGCCCCUAUGGAUCCAUAUUGCAGCUAUACAUGGAAUGAGGCAAGUCCACUGCAAUUUAAUGCACAACAUACAUAAACAAGGACAAAACAGAUCGGUAGGAAUAACCCAUUUAAUGAAACAACCUAUAUACUAUUGUUACAUCAAUAAUACAUUUUUUUUUUCAGUUCACAUAAAAUUGAAUAAUAUUUGACUGUUACUCAUCAUUUAUAGAGAACAUUUUAGUGCCAUUCAUUACUUAAUUUAUACCUGAGACCAUACAGACCAAAGUCCUGCUCUAAUAGUUGAUAUUUGAGACUGUAGCAUAGGAUAUGCAACUGUUGCUGCAAUUCCAAUCGUAGCACUUAUUCCUCUUGCCAUUCCAAUAACAAAUGCAGGUAUACCUUCCCAUUCUAAGGUGGCUGUCAUCAAAGUUCCAAAGCUGAGGAAAAAAUUGAAAUUUUAUCAAUGACUGUUAUUAGAAUAUAAAACAGAAAAAUAUCUUUAUCUUGAUUCUAAUAACUCUUCAUGCUCAACAAACAGCAAAAAAAUGCAAGACAUGUUUCUACGUACAGAGAAUAGUACAAAAUUCAAAGGGCAAGCUUCAAAAAUAAACUAGAUAUUUUAAGCAUUAUUGGAAAAGGCUAAUUCUGAGUAUUUUUUUUUUUCAUGUAAUAUUUACUUGCUACACUUUAUUUGCAGGCUUUCACCUGAGUACAGUGAAAUAUAGCAAAGCCAGAGCCAUUCCAGGAAGGGCAACUUCUUGCUUUAAAUAAACUUUCCAUGCAGCAACAUAAGGAAUUUCUGAGAUCUUCUCACGAAGUUUUUUACUGUGUUUUCUAUCCACCAAUUCUGAGCUACCAGCAGUAACAGAAAGCAAGCUAUCUUCCUCCAAAGUUGGAUUGCUUCUUUGUUGAUCACUUUGUGAUAGUCUUGCCAUCCUCCUCUGGCUACUUUCGCCUAAUGCUGGAAUCCCAUUAUAUACAGAUGUGAAAAGCCAAUACUCCACCCAAACGGACACAGUAUUCCACAGUGCUAAAGUUAUAGCAGAUGCUUUUAGUGAAACGAAGCUUAUAAUAAACCCAGUAAUAACUGGAGCAAGAAGUUUGCAGGUUAGAUCAAUGCGUCUCAUAACUGAAUUCAUCUUUGUCAGCAAUUCUGGGGGUUGACCUUCCGCUAUAACUAACAACCUGUAUAAUAUAAACAAGAACAAUAUCAUGUUCUUCACAAAAAUAUUUAUUCUCCAUUUAAUUAAGCACCCCUAAAAAUUCAGUUUAAAGACAUUAGAUUAUGUAGUAUGAGCAAAGGCAUUACAUUCUGAACUGACAUAAUAGAGGUGGUAACCAUGCUUGGAAAUAUCAUGUUUCCUUUACUGGGCACAAUUAAACUACUUGAAAACCAGAAGAAACUUAGAAUAAUUAAUAUUCUUCUGAGUUGUAAAUUUGAAAGGUAGUAAAGAAAACAAUUAAUUUUACCAUUCUCUUUCAAUCAAGAUUGUGCCGGCAAGGGUAGAAAGCACACCAAUGCCACCACAGAUAUUGAUGGUCCAUAACAGUAAUGUGAAAACUGAAAAAUUUGUAAACUUCAAAGGUGAGUUGACGAGUAAAACAACUACAGUUGCCCCGGCAAUAACAAAAGAGAGAUUUUGUGUCACCAACCACAACUGCAAAACCUGCCAAUAAAGUAUGCUGACAGAGUUAUUUCACCAAAGACACCUUGAUCUUCACCAUCAAAUAAUUAAGAACCAAAUUUAAAUAACUAAAGCUACCUCUGUCAGAUAUUGCUAUAUUCUUUUUCAUCUUUGAAUUAUUCAUCUCUUAUUCUUUAGAUAAUUCUUGAAAAGAUUUUGGCAUUUCACAUGCAUAUGCUGUUAGAAUCUAAGGUCUUAAAGAAUCUGAUGGAUAGUGAAGUCCAGAAACAGAACGAAGGUUUAAGCAAAGAAUUAUACGCCACAUCUUAACCAAAAUUUAUGGCAUCAUGUUUAUAAGCUGUUUCACUUAUAUAACCCUCUCUUUACCCAUCUCUUUCUAUUUUAUAGGGCUUCUUCAUUCGUACACAAAUAAUAGUAAAGCUGAAAAACGAUAGACCAAACACAAAAGUAGCCUGUCAAUACUGGACCCAUUAAGUAGAAUAAAAAAAUCUUAAGUUAUCGUUUAGCUUUUAGCAAAAGGACAGAAAGCUUUACAGGUCAGAAGCACUAGUAGUCCUUGAAUAAAAGCAUAUAAGCUAAUUAGUAAUACUUUGGGCUCACACCUUCACAUAAGACAACUUAUCAACCCAUCUUCCAAUUAUGGGGCCAAACAGUGCAAUGGAGGCAGACUCAAUGGCACCAUAUAUUGCAGCAUACAACAAAGAGUCUGGCCAUAUGUUGACCAUAUAUAAACCAACAGAGAAUUCCCACAUCCUGAAACACAGAUGCACAAUGAAUUUUAGUAGCAAAAACCAAACCAAACCAAACAAAAUAGCGCAGCCCAAUCCCUAGGAAACAGUGAUUUUGAAAAUCUCAACUCCCAAGCCAAGAAAAAAUGAUCCUAAUUGACUGACUAACUCACAGACACCUUCCAUGCAUGUAUAUUAUAUCUUUAUCUAAUGUGGUCUAUUUCCCAGCUUGGUACAAUUAAGGGUAAUUGAUACAGUUAAAUCACACAUCCCACUAAAAAAAUUUAUCAUUUCAUAGCACAAACAACAAUUUCAAUUCAUCCGCUUUGGUAACAGGGCAGAAACCCAUUUUCCUACUCAGGAUAAUUUCCAAAACUACAAAGAAGAAAAAGGAAAAUUUUCUUUGCAUUCUUGUAAAAAUGAAAUCAAUUAAGCACCGGAAACAAUAGCUAUCAGUGGCCUAUCUAUCAAUAAUAUUUGAGUUCAAAUAAUUAAAUCAAUGGUGAGAGGUGAAAGGAAAACCUGGCAUCCCAUCUAGCUAAGAAGUGACCAAUAUACAAAUGCUUGAUCAGAGAAGAUGAAGUUUGCUGUUCUUUGGCAAGAAAAGGCUCUCUUGUCAAUGUGAUGCUUUCUUCCAUAUCAGAUUCUUUCUUACCUUUCACUCACUCCAUUGACCAUUAAACUCUAGACAAGCAACAGCAUGCAGUUUAUGUUAUCGUCCCCAUUUGAUAAUGAUAGUCAGUGAUAAAAAAAAGUAUAAUAAUAAUAAUAAUAAUAAUAAUAAUAAUAAUAAUAAUAGAAUAAUAUAGCACAUAGAAAUUAGAGUGACGCAAUUCUCUUAAAGAGGUUUUAUCUGUGUUGAAACUUUUAUUUUUGAAACUUUAAAAUAUUUUAGUGAAAUUAAUUUAUUUAUGAUCUAUAAUAAGAUUAGGUGAACAACAUAAUACAUUAUAUACCCUAAGAAGAAAACAUUAUAGGAUGUCGUGUAAGUUUUAUUUAAAGAAGGAUGCAUAAGUAAAAGAAGUUUUUCUUUUAAUAUUAUUUAAAUGUAUUUUAUAUUUAAAGUGCUAUAUAAUAAAAUGAUGGAUUCAUCUGUACACUUCAAUGUUGUGGAAGUUGCUUCAAUCAGUGACCUGAUCCAGGUAUUGAGUGUUAGACAAUUAGACACUUGGCUGAAUAAAUCAACAUUAAGAAAAGUAUAAGUAUAUAUGAUAUCUUAACAUAUGAUAAAUCCAACCUAACACUAUUUUCUUUUUUGUCAUUAUAAAGUUGAAGAGAAUAUGAUUUGAAAUUUCACACUUCAAAACACAUAGAAAGUUUCUUUUGCAUCUCUAGGUUUCUUCCUUUAUUUCUAUACAAAUAUUUUUUAUUUUUAUUUUUUUUAUUGCAAAAUUUGUAAUUUAUAUUUUGAGAUAUUGUAUAAUGGAAAGGUAAAAAAUGAUUUUUGAAUUAUGUAAUUUAGAAGCCAUUUUUUUCUUAAGAAUUCUGUCAAAACUAAAAUUCCUUUUUAGAUUUAUGUAACUGGAAAAUAAAAAAUGACUUCUAAAGUGUUCAAUGGGAAAAUUAAAAAUACUUUUAGAUUAUACAAACUGAAAAAUAAAUAAUUUUCUUAAAUUUAUUUUUUAUUUUUAGAUUAUACAAUUCAAAAGUUAUUUUGUGAUUAAGGUAUAAUCUAAAACUCAUUCGUUUAGAAAAAAAAAAUCUUCUGAAUUAUGUAAUAAAAAAAUAUUUUUACUUUCUUCCAUAACUAAUAAGUUAUUUUUAAUAUUUGAAUGGCAUAAUUGAAAAAAAAAAUUAUAUGGGGGUGUAAGAAGAAACUUAUAAAUGCGCAGGAAAAAUCUACCACAUUAUACAUACAUUUAAUAAAUGAGUGGUCGACUAGGUCUUCGUAUUUUUUUUAUUGACAUGUUUAAAUCAGUCCACGUCAACUUAGGUAGUAUGAGGUCAAAUAAUGAAUAUCUAAUUUGAUAACCAACUUGUAUCUAAACAACAAUUUGCUAAGGAAAGAUAAUGUAAUUACAUAUUUACGUUAAAAAGUCAAUCCAAAGGUUUUUAAGUAGAAAGAGUAUUAUAAAUCAUAACCUCCCAUAAAAGAAUUCUGCUUUCAAUAUUUUUCUAAUUGUGAUGAUGGUUAGAUUAUUUUUAUUAAAAAUAAUACACUAGCAAUAAAAAGACGUGUACAUCUACGUAGAAAAUUUCGGUGCAAAGGUUUCUAAAUAGGAAAGCUUAUUAUGAAAAGAAUUCUAUUUUAAAUAUAUUUGUAAUUGUAAUAGUCUAUAUAUCAACUGAAGUCCUUCAACAAGUUGAUGUAGACUUACAAUAAGAAUUGGCUACAACCAUCUUUGAUGAUCAUGUUGGUGUUUAGAAGACCUCAUCUUAUAUCCAACCCUCUCCUAGUUUAUCAUCAUAUCAACAUAACUCUCAAAUUUCAUUAUUGCCUUUUAGCUAGUUUUUGUCUUCUAUCUCCUUACCCAACAAUAUGUUAAAAAGCAAGCGUGAAAAAUAACAUAUAGAAGCACAAAAAACAGAGUAAGUUUUAAAAUCUCACAUACAUAUAAGAUCUCAUGCAUACACAUUUAAUUCAUAAAUUUAAUUCAUUCAUUAAACAUGUAAGAAUCAAAUGUCUAACUCUAAGUCCAUUGAUUACAUCUCACGUCAUAAAUGAUUCAUAUCAAUAUCACAAAUACUUCACUUUUCUUUCCAAAGAAUGUGUUAAGUUACAUUUAAAGAUUUACAUUUAUCACACUAUCCGUACUAAGUUGUCAUAAACAAUAAAGCUACAUAGUAGGAUUCCAUCAACUCAUGUGAAAAGGUGAAUUCAUAUCACUAAUAGAGAUGCCAAAAAAAUAUCUACGAGCACGGAUAUCCGUGAGUUGGAUACAGAUAAUAUACUAUUAAAAAAAAAUUAAUUUAUAUAUUUUUAAGUAAAUUUAAUUAAAAAUAAAAUAAAAUUAUAUUUUAUUAAGCUAAAUUUAAUUAAAAUUAAAUUUUAAUUUAUAUUUAAUUUAAUUUAUAUUAUAUAUAUACAUUUAUAAAAUAUUUUUAUUUUUACUUUUUACGAGUAUCUACGGGUAUCCAUUGGUUUUAAAAUACUUGUAGGUAUUUUCUAAAUGGUAGGUAUUUUCUAAAUGGAUACCUGACGUGUAAUGGGUUGGGUAGUAGGUACAGUUUUAUCCGAUUGAUCGAGUUACGGGUAGACAUUAUCCGUUCCCGACCCGAUCCAUCGUCAUCCCCAAUCAGUACUUGUUAUUUUUCUCCAAUAUAAGUUUCAAUAUCCCCUUCCAGGAAAUAACUGUGUAUAAAACAUUGUAUGUCAUAUCACAAUCUUCACAUAAUAUAUUUGUAUGCGUAUACAUUUCACCUUAACUAAUAAUAAAUUUCAUUUCAUCAUCAUAUUAUAAUAAUAUUCAAGUAUAAUAUGUUGAUAAAAAAAUAGAAAUUGGCUUUUACAAAUAUUUCAAAAAAUAAGUCAAAUAGGAUUAUGUAUUGCUCUUAUUUAUAUUAUGCUAAAAUAGAAACUCUUCCUAUUACAAUGAGAUGAGGAUAACCACGUAUGUAAAGUUCUUGUAUCUGUCUAACGUCUUUCUACUUCGUGCUCUGGUAAUCAAUUGGUGUGUGGGGGGGUGACCUGUAAAAUCUUUCUUUAUAUGUCUUUAGUAAUUCAACAGUAAGUCAAAGCGAGUUUACCUCAAAAUUAAACCCUUAUUUAUAAAGUUUAUAAGAAUCUGACCAAUUAAUUUACCUUUUAAUGAUCAUUAAUGCAACCUUAACCACUAAUCAGUAGCUGUUGUAACAUUAAUUGUGUCUUAACUCUAUUCAACUGUUGUAAGAACCGAGCGACUGUGAGGCGCUUUCUUGUACAUUACCUGUUCGAUCCUUUCAAUCCAGUUUGUCCUCGUGUCCGAUCGAUCGACUAUAAGCCCAUAGUAACAUAGGCCGCCUAAGCCCUAAAAAGAUGUUUAUAUGUUGCGUAAGGUUUUUCCUAGUCUUACCGAUCGGUAUAGGGAUCUUCAACAUCACGUUAUGUCCCUUCAGGAUCUGCAAAAAUGGUGAGAAGAGCGAAAGACGAAGAGUUACGACUGUAAGAAAGGGUGGGAAAAGGUAGAAACGUAACGUCAUGACGUUUGAACCGUCAGAUCUUUUCCUUUUGGAUGUCCUAGAUGGGUUUGAUGAAACUCCUUCACCAUCUAUAAAUAGUGGUAGGGUCACCCCAUAUUUUCACUUUUACCCUCGAUCUCUCUAGCAACCGAAUGUCCUUCUUGCUCUUCCCCUCUCAAAAGUUCUUAACUCUCUACUACCAGGUAUAUAUUUCUUCUUCAAGCUUUAAGCCUCUAUCGACAAAAUCAAUAAUCAUGCUAUUGAAAGAGUUAAACAAAGCAAGCAUACAGUGGAAGUAUGCCGCAUCAAUGGCAUUCCUGAGUCUCUCAAAUGGGGGAACUGCAGUGUUCACCCUAGCCUACUGGCACAAAAAAGUGAUCAAAGAUGGAUGCCCCAAUGGCAUCCUGCUACUAAUAGUCAUAGCACAACUCCUAAUCUCGUCGGCAAUGAUUUGGCAGACAUUUACCUCUAUCUGUCUCAUUAAGCAGAAAAUGAGACGAACCCUGUGAAUCGUGAUACUUGAGAUAUGGGAGCACGGUUGGAUGUUGGAAUGUGUGAACGCCAUCCAGUAUCUAGCUAAUGGUGUCAUAUCCAACCGUCGAAUGUUCACCGGCGCACCGCUAGCGUUGGUCUGAAAGUGUCUACCAGGGAGACGCACAACCUCCUCAAUGUCAGCUAUAUCAUCAAGCACACCAGAAUCUGUCGCAUACUGACAUCGCUCCCCUGGCCACUCUGUUCCCAAGAAGCUGUUAAUGGUGUCGGGGUCAUAACUGAUAGUCUUCCCCCUCACAAAACUCAUAUAUCGCCCAACAGCCGCUCCUCCUCUAGGCGCCGCAUUGGUGUAGAAUUCCUUCACCAACUCCACACUGGCUGGUGCCGGGUAAGUCGUCAGUUUCUCCCAAUCUCUCCUCAAAAUCUCCUCCUCAAAUUCAGGAACCAAGUCAGGUAAAAAGGAGGUUUUCCUCUCCAUAAACAAUCUCCUUUCUUGUACAGUAGCAAAGUGUUCGUCAUGCUGCUUGGAGAGGAACCUUUGAGAGUCAAAUCCUCUUGAGCUUUUUGGCAUCUUCCUUUUGCCUCCAGUGUUUCUUGUCUGGCGCGAUGCUGAAGCCAUUUCUGCAACAAAUACAAUAUGCCAAGAACCACAGAAAUCUAUUGUCAGGAGUUAAUGCAUCAACAAAGUAUUAGACCCAACAAAAUUUUCACAAUGAGUGCCCAGGUUCCCCCUAUUCAAAAUGCAAAUAAACCACAAGAACGCAGCAGACCGCCCGGCGGUACAGAGGCUUACUGCCCGGCGGUGAGAGGGUUUUUGAAAAUUUUUCACCAAACCAACCCUAAUCUCCAAUCAACUACUAAUUCCUAACAUGCACUUCAAUUCCAAACAGUUUAAUCGGUCCAAAACAGUUCCCAAUUCAACAAUUCAUGCAAAGAAUCUCAAAACCCUAAGUUACCUAAUUUCUAAACAUGCUCAUCAAGAAUUUCAAAAUCAAGAACUUAACAAUUGAAAUUUUACAACUUACUUGAGUGGAGAUAUGAAUGCUAGCAACUAUUCCUUCAAAACAUGAUGGAAAACUCUAAAAACACACUCCCACCAAGAAAAACCCCAAAUAUGAGCAAGAACUAAAACCCUUUUGUGAAAGGGUAUUGGGAAAGUGUAUAGAAAUCUCUCUAAAACCCUCUAGGGAGUGCAAUUCUGGAGCAAAGAAGCAAGGAGAACGCCUGGCGAAACUCAAAGGAGCAAGAACAAGUGAGGAAGUCUUGAAAAUACCCAGCUUUUAAAGAGCUCGGGUUCCAUUGUCCGCUGUGACACCCGGGCACUGACGAGGGCGGGGAGUGAUCGCCGAUGCAAGAGGCAUGGUGCAGGGGUAUGGACAAGGAGCGGCUCCUGGCAGGCUUCCAAUGGAAGGGGUACAUGGACGAAUCGAACAUACACCGGAAUGAGAGGGAUCUAGAGACUGUAUAGGUAUGGGACUAUACAGUUGAAGGAUAACUUAAAGGAAUUGAUUUGGCUACUNNNNNNNNNNNNNNNNNNNNNNNNNNNNNNNNNNNNNNNNNNNNNNNNNNNNNNNNNNNNNNNNNNNNNNNNNNNNNNNNNNNNNNNNNNNNNNNNNNNNNNNNNNNNNNNNNNNNNNNNNNNNNNNNNNNNNNNNNNNNNNNNNNNNNNNNNNNNNNNNNNNNNNNNNNNNNNNNNNNNNNNNNNNNNNNNNNNNNNNNNNNNNNNNNNNNNNNNNNNNNNNNNNNNNNNNNNNNNNNNNNNNNNNNNNNNNNNNNNNNNNNNNNNNNNNNNNNNNNNNNNNNNNNNNNNNNNNNNNNNNNNNNNNNNNNNNNNNNNNNNNNNNNNNNNNNNNNNNNNNNNNNNNNNNNNNNNNNNNNNNNNNNNNNNNNNNNNNNNNNNNNNNNNNNNNNNNNNNNNNNNNNNNNNNNNNNNNNNNNNNNNNNNNNNNNNNNNNNNNNNNNNNNNNNNNNNNNNNNNNNNNNNNNNNNNNNNNNNNNNNNNNNNNNNNNNNNNNNNNNNNNNNNNNNNNNNNNNNNNNNNNNNNNNNNNNNNNNNNNNNNNNNNNNNNNNNNNNNNNNNNNNNNNNNNNNNNNNNNNNNNNNNNNNNNNNNNNNNNNNNNNNNNNNNNNNNNNNNNNNNNNNNNNNNNNNNNNNNNNNNNNNNNNNNNNNNNNNNNNNNNNNNNNNNNNNNNNNNNNNNNNNNNNNNNNNNNNNNNNNNNNNNNNNNNNNNNNNNNNNNNNNNNNNNNNNNNNNNNNNNNNNNNNNNNNNNNNNNNNNNNNNNUGGGAUGGGUGACCUUCCGGGAAGUUUUCUCGGAAAGUGUGUGAGUGAGGACAAAGCACACUGGAAAGCCUCGUGUUGAUGUGUGGGGGCAGUCAGCAGUCCUUGUAAGUUGCCGGGGCGUUACAUUCGCCGCCACCGCCCGGCGGCAAAGUGGUACCGCCCGACGGUGGCUUAAAAUUCUUCUUCCCCCUUUUCUUGUUUUCCUCUUUGUGAUUUCUCCUGAUGACUCCUGAUCUAUGCCCUAGAUUUCCCAAUCACAAUAUUUUUCUCACUCAAAUGCAUGUGCUCACACAGAGAGUAAUAAACAGAAUUUUGAAAAACAGAAAACAAACAAUGAAAUUCAAGUAAUGAACAAGUAAUUGAGAAAGUCUCUCCAAACACCCAUCAGUAGGUGUCAAACUCAUUUGUGCUUAGUAUUUCCUUCUUCUUCUUCUUUAUACUAAACCUCUUCAAGAAAUUGAUCAUGCCAAGCACAUGUUUCCAUCCAUCAAUCAUAGGAGCCUUGAUCUCCAAUUUCUCAAAGAUCUCCUUGAAAAACUUAACCCUAUUUUCCUUCCUAGGGUUUUUCCUUUUAUGAGGAAAGGAUUCUUUACAUGACUUUUUUUUCUUUCCUCUCUUCCUCUUUCUCUUAAUUUUCUCCUUCCUUAACCUUCUCUUUUUCUUUUUUCUCCCUUUCUUUAUUUUCAUUUUUUUCUUUUUUUUUCUCUUUUUUUUUCUCAACCAUGGCUUUUCUUCCUCAUCUUUCUUCUCACUCUCAUUCAAUUUUUUUAUUUCUAUCUCCUCUAUAUUUUUCUCAACAACAACUUCUUCUCUUUUUGUUUCCUCUUCCAACAUCUCUCGCUCUUCUUCUUCUUUCUUUUCCUCAUUGAGAACCUUAUCAUGUGCAAAGAUAGUGGCUUGACAUUCUUCUUUAGGGUUGACUUCAGUAUCAACCUUGAUAAUGCCCAAAGCCUUCAGGGCAUGAGAGUGUUGUUCCUGCAAUAAACAUGCUUGUACUUCUCCCAAUGUUUCUUUGUGUACAGGAAAUUGUUUUUGUUGUAAACGCUGUCGGACUUCCCCCAGCGUUUCUUUUGGUACAGAGAAUAGUUCCUGCCGUAAACGUUCUUUAGCUUCCCCUAACGUUUCUUUUCGCGAAGAGUACUGAUGUCCUAAGUAGUUUCGAUAUAUAUUUGAAUAAGGGUCCC
This 17800-nucleotide long non-coding RNA is filed under the name Vigna radiata. Its description in RNAcentral is "long non-coding RNA (VRAD_LNC009752)". Lineage: Eukaryota; Viridiplantae; Streptophyta; Magnoliopsida; Fabales; Fabaceae. The record is from RNAcentral.